Transfer RNA from Gaeumannomyces graminis, 72 nucleotides. It matches the Rfam family "tRNA". From Rfam's summary of the family: Transfer RNA (tRNA) molecules are approximately 80 nucleotides in length. The record is from Rfam. Lineage: Eukaryota; Fungi; Ascomycota; Sordariomycetes; Magnaporthales; Magnaporthaceae.
AGUUGUAUGGCGCAAUGGUAACGCGCUUGCUCUUGUAGCGGGAGGUCCUGGGUUUAACUCCCGGUGCGACCU